Molecule: ribosomal RNA, 476 nt
Filed under: uncultured bacterium
Lineage: Bacteria
Description: bacterial SSU rRNA
Rfam family: Bacterial small subunit ribosomal RNA
Source: RNAcentral
GACGAACGCUGGCGGCGUGCUUAACACAUGCAAGUCGAACGAUGAACAGGAGCUUGCUCCUGGGAUUAGUGGCGAACGGGUGAGUAACACGUGGGUGAUCUGCCCCAAACUUUGGGAUAAGCCUGGGAAACUGGGUCUAAUACCGAAUAUGACCAACUCCUGCAUGGGGGUUGGUGGAAAGCUCCGGCGGUUUGGGAUGGGCCCGCGGCCUAUCAGCUUGUUGGUGGGGUAAUGGCCUACCAAGGCGACGACGGGUAGCCGGCCUGAGAGGGUGACCGGCCACACUGGGACUGAGAUACGGCCCAGACUCCUACGGGAGGCAGCAGUGGGGAAUAUUGGACAAUGGGCGAAAGCCUGAUCCAGCAACGCCGCGUGAGGGAUGACGGCCUUCGGGUUGUAAACCUCUUUCAGUACCGACGAAGCGCCCUGUCGGGUGGUGACGGUAGGUACAGAAGAAGGACCGGCCAACUACGUGC